UUGAAUUCUCAACAUGAGAGUUUGAUCCUGGCUCAGAACGAACGCUGGCGGCAGGCUUAACACAUGCAAGUCGAGCGCCCCGCAAGGGGAGCGGCAGACGGGUGAGUAACGCGUGGGAACGUACCCUUUACUACGGAAUAACGCAGGGAAACUUGUGCUAAUACCGUAUGUGCCCUUUGGGGGAAAGAUUUAUCGGUAAAGGAUCGGCCCGCGUUGGAUUAGCUAGUUGGUGGGGUAAAGGCCUA
This 245-nucleotide ribosomal RNA is filed under the name Rhizobium esperanzae. Its description in RNAcentral is "partial 16S ribosomal RNA". It matches the Rfam family "Bacterial small subunit ribosomal RNA", at positions 1 to 267 of the family's 1533-position model. The record is from RNAcentral. Lineage: Bacteria; Pseudomonadati; Pseudomonadota; Alphaproteobacteria; Hyphomicrobiales; Rhizobiaceae.